Molecule: ribosomal RNA, 484 nt
Filed under: uncultured bacterium
Lineage: Bacteria
Description: bacterial SSU rRNA
Rfam family: Bacterial small subunit ribosomal RNA
Source: RNAcentral
GACGAACGCUGGCGGCGUGCCUAAUACAUGCAAGUCGAGCGAAGCGGGGACGGGUGAGUAACACGUGGGCAACCUCCUGUAAGACUGGGAUAACUCCGGGAAACCGGGGCUAAACCGGUAUCUUACAGAUGGGCCCGCGGCGCAUUAGCUAGUUGGUGAGGUAACGGCUCACCAAGGCGACGAUGCGUAGCCGACCUGAGAGGGUGAUCGGCCACACUGGGACUGAGACACGGCCCAGACUCCUACGGGAGGCAGCAGUAGGGAAUCUUCCGCAAUGGACGAAAGUCUGACGGAGCAACGCCGCGUGAGUGAUGAAGGUUUUCGGAUCGUAAAACUCUGUUGUUAGGGAAGCGGUACCUAACCAGAAAGCCACGGCUAACUACGUGCCAGCAGCCGCGGUAAUACGUAGGUGGCAAGCGUUGUCCGGAAUUAUUGGGCGUAAAGCGCGCGCAGGCGGUUUCUUAAGUCUGAUGUGAAAGCCCAC